RNAcentral lists this unclassified non-coding RNA (367 nucleotides) under Hevea brasiliensis (rubber tree). Lineage: Eukaryota; Viridiplantae; Streptophyta; Magnoliopsida; Malpighiales; Euphorbiaceae. The record is from RNAcentral.
UCGACGACGACGGCAAAUUCGAUGAUGACGUAGACUCUAGGGUACGCUCGAGCUCCGCAAGGUGGCCGGAGAAGGAGAAGCAGGAGCGGAAGAAGAGUGGAUUGUGCUCCAAGGACCACGUGGAGAAGGCUGUAAUGAAGCCGGUGGGCUCGAAAGGGUCAAGAACCUGAUCGUUCUGGUGGUGGAUCGGAGGGGUGGGUAGGUCGGAGGUAACGAGACAAAGAGGGUUAUCUUGAGCGCGAAGGUGGAAGAGGUGGUGGGGCUGGAAUUGUCGCUCUUCGACAACGCGGCCGCAGGAAAUGCACUCUGUGAUGGACUUGCCGGUGCUCGUGGUGGCGCACCGCCCCUGCGCCGCCGAACAGUAGGG